AGACCACUCUUUCUCUCUCUAAACAACUGCUCUCUAGAACCUUCUGCUUCUCUCCUUCUUAUCCGAUGAAACUCGUCGCCUCUCCAACCAUACCCCUCCCUGAGUUCUCUCGAUCUCUAGUCGCCAUGGAACCCUCAUCAUCGUUACUCUCCUCUGAAGCUUGAAGUCCAAUGACAUCCGCAUGAAAUACGGUUACUGAAGCUUCACUUGGGUCUGUUUCUGUCUUUUCACUAGUGGUUUUUGUCCGAUGAUGCCUUCUAUAGCAUUAUAUACGAGUUUCACGGCCAAGUUCUACUCAAACCUCUUUAGUCUGCUCUUUUAAAACGACUCUCAGUUUGAUUUUGUUUUCUACUCUAAUUUUUACUUAGUGUUUCCAAUUAUUUCAAUCUUCAGAUGGUUACUACUCUUUCAAAUUGGGGUUUCUGACCCCCUUCUCAACGUCGUUUCUUCUGCUCUUUCUGAGUACUAUAUGUUCAUUUGUGUUUACUUGUUUACUUGUUUGUUUGGUGUCCUUGUUAACCUGGGUCCAUGCUUUAAUUUUUCUUGCUUGGAUUUCUGACCCUUUUUAAUCAUUAUGCUUCUGUUUCUUUUGGGUAUUAUGUGGUUACUCCGAUGCUAUGUGCUGGAAACCUUUUGUUUUCUGAGUUCCGUGCCUUAAUUCUCUUCUAGGGCUCUGACUCACCACUAGUUUAUUCAAUUUAUUUCUUGGGGUUCUUAGUUUUGUGAUUUUUGUGCAUAAAUAAAUUCGAAUGCCUUUCUUUACUGAAUAUUCUUUUAAUUCCGAGCAUCUUUUUGAAUCCUUAAUUUGUAGAUGUUCUUACAUUGAUUGUUAAAAUUGUUUCCUUACUUAUGAGAUUACUCUCUAUGUUUGGGACUGAUUCCCUCUUAUUUUUUUCUUGCCCGUGAUUCUUUGAUUGAUUUUCAUGGUUAAUUUAUAUGGUCACCAUAACUGUGCACUUAAAUAUAUAUUUGGCUAUCCCGCGUAUAUUUUUCCUUGCUUGAGGCAUUUGUACCUAGACUCUAUUACAUGCAGCAUGCUUACUGCUUUUGUUAUGGUAUAAUCAGUCAUCAGAUUUAUUCUUUCCUUACUGUGUAGCCUAUACUCCUAUUCGAUCAUGAGUCCGUAAUUACCCUUUUCUCAACUAUUUUUCAAGAAGCUAUAAGUACUACUCCUAUCUUAUCACUAGAAACAUAGACACACGAAUACAAUUUCUCUAAACCUUCUUUAAAAAAAACACACAUUGCAUAUCUCUCACAAAUCCAAACUCUCUGCACUAUUUCUCUCACUUUCUCUAAUGUUGCUACACUCUCUCAUUCUUCUAUUUUGAACAUUCAAUAGGCUAAAAGCCAAGAUUGAGUAAGCUUGGUCGUCUACUACACUACUAGGUUUCUACUGCAUUAUUUGGGUUUGCCUGUUGCUUGCUUCUCUGCACUGUUGUUCUCACAUUGCUGCUCUCAUUCUCUGCACACUUUGCUCUCUUUUUGUUCACUAUUUCUCAUUGCUAUUGUUUUCUAUUACCUGCAACUGGUAUGUCACCCCUUUAAGAUACAGUUUCCACAAAAACAUGUUUCUAUUAAUGUUGCAUUUGAUAAUGUUUCUUGUAUGCUUUUACUUAUGGUUUUGUUGCUCUUUUUUUCACUAGCAUGUUACUUACUAGUCUAUAUUGUGCAGUUUAACAUGAUCCCACACUCCCUUCCCCUGUCUCAAAGAAUGUUUACUUUUGUACUACUACCAUGCAUCCAUGUCUCCUUGGCUACUUGGUUAACCUAAUCCUCUGUUUGAGGCUAAGUGUAUUAGAGUUUGGUACAGUAAGAACUGAACUCUUGUUUUACAACCAUGUCUGGUUAGUUUCUUUGUUUCCUGUGUGAGUAGUUUACUUUGCUUAUUUGUUCCCUUCCCCUUUGCUCUCAUUUGUGUGAUGCUCUAUUGUUCUAAAACUUGUCAGUCUAAAUGGUUUCAGAAGAACUUCUCCAAUUGUUACAAUAAUUUUCUUAAACUGUCUCAACUUUUCCAACUCUUUCAACUAUUUUCGUAAACUCUCUCAAUUAUUUCAACUACUUUCUUAAACAUUCUCUCAACUGUUUUUAACUCUCUCAAUUUUAAUCACAAUCUCAUUCUUAGAGAUUAAGGGUCUUCCCCCUUAGUGUAAGCAUUCCCUUGGCAGCCUUAAGCACUCAUCAAAAUUUGAUGCUCAAGGCUGGCACUUCCACACUUGUCUGAUUAUGAUGUUAUGGAUGCUUGGUAUUGGCCAAGGGUUCAAACGAACUUUUAGGGAACUUUUCCGCACCCAAGCCUUGCUAAUGACUGUGAAACUCGAAAGAAGUGAGGUUGGAGAUCUUGGGCCUGGCUGUAGGCUCCCUAUAGAAUAGCUUCUCCUUUUUUUUCACUGUUGUAUUUUUAAAUUACUUGGUCUGUAAUAACUUGCAAAGAACAAUGGGUAUUUUAGUGAAAUUGGGGAAGGUUAUGCAUGAUUAUUAAAGGUAUG
Molecule: long non-coding RNA, 2486 nt
Filed under: Nicotiana benthamiana
Lineage: Eukaryota; Viridiplantae; Streptophyta; Magnoliopsida; Solanales; Solanaceae
Description: long non-coding RNA (NBEN_LNC020580)
Source: RNAcentral